AUGGAAAGGAAAGUUCUUGCACUCCAGGCGAGGAAGAAAAGGACAAAGGCGAAAAAACCCGGCAAAAAAGCAUCCCAAGCAGAGCCGUUGCUAUGGAUACUCGGACUAAGCUGCCAAGAUCAGAGCUCAUGCCGCGUGCGCUUCAUGCAGGGAGCAAGUGACAGACAGAGAGGACCGGCUAAUGGAUUUACUAAUGGAGUAAGUUAUUUUGGGCCGGGCCUUCAUUUUGGCAGACUCAAUCAGACCUGGGUAAUGUAGGGCCUGAACGUUGCGGCCUGGCCUCGGGCUUAACAUGAAUGCCAACAAAUAGUGAAAUGACAGCUGUUAGUGUAUCUUGCUAACCUUAUCUUGCUAGCUAAUGUUAUCUGUUGCAGAUUUUUUUUGAACUACACCAUUCUCAAAAGAGUAGCCAGCUGGCUAAUAGUUCUGGAGUUGG
This 436-nucleotide long non-coding RNA is filed under the name Oncorhynchus kisutch (coho salmon). RNAcentral describes it as "lncRNA (ENSOKIG00005002070.1)". The record is from RNAcentral. Lineage: Eukaryota; Metazoa; Chordata; Actinopteri; Salmoniformes; Salmonidae.